Molecule: transfer RNA, 35 nt
Filed under: Lacerta agilis (Sand lizard)
Lineage: Eukaryota; Metazoa; Chordata; Lepidosauria; Squamata; Lacertidae
Description: partial tRNA-Ser
Source: RNAcentral
AAGAGGUGUAUGAACAAUUAGAACUGCUAACUCAA